This is an RNA transcript of Papaver somniferum (opium poppy), 5293 nucleotides long. It is a transcript of the gene named leucine-rich repeat receptor-like tyrosine-protein kinase PXC3, with no coding region annotated. The transcript has 4 exons. The record is from RefSeq and is a predicted model, not a curated record. NCBI's taxonomy places the organism in Eukaryota, Viridiplantae, Streptophyta, Magnoliopsida, Ranunculales, Papaveraceae.
CCCCGUGAAGGGAAUUUUUGGCUUAGGAGUAAAAGCUAUGAGUUGUGUGUCUGGUCACAGUGAAGUAAGUAGAAAACUGGUCUUGGACUGUGAAACCAGUAGUACAUAAAACCCUGAUACCUUUCCCUUUAUUCCAUUGCAUUACACUGUCUGAAUUGAUUUAACAAGGAUUGCUUCUUACAUUCACUGUUUUUCUGUAAAAACAAAAGAAACCACUUCUUUUCACGUUUUUUUCAUACAUUAUUACUUUGCUGUAGUUGAAAUUAGUGAAAAAGAGAAAGAGAAAGAGAAAGUUGAAGUUGUUUCAUCAUCAGUCCUGAGUUUUCAAAGCCAACUUUUCAGUGGUUAACUGUUUCUUCAAGGAGUAAAGGAGUGAGUUUUGGUAGAUGUUUUUAAAGUGGGUUUUUCUUACUUGAAGUGAAGAUUUGGGUUUAUAGUUCAGAGAUUUCCAUUAAAUUUGAAGAUCUAGCAGAGCUCAUCUGAGCUUAAAGACAGUGAGAAAAGUGGGGUUCAUCUUUUGGUGCUUUAGUUGUUUGAUGAAGUGUUGCAAAAAGAAGGAUUAUUUUUUUUGGUUUUAAAGUUCAGGGAUUUCUUCAUUUAAAGCUUGAGUUUUGGAAAAAACAAGAAAUGGUUUUUCUCCACAGGUGUUGGAGUUUGAACUAGAAAAUACAAGGGUAUUAAUUUUCUGUUCAGACAUUGAUUUACUACUUCGAUGGUUUUUGUCUGAGAACCCAAAAAAAAAGUAGUAUAUUUUUCUGUGCAUUUUUUGGGGUUUCCGAUGACUCCUUUUAGGAGGAGUAGAAUUUCACUUCUGCUGAUUAGCAUUCUAUGGAGAAUUCAGCUUCUUAUUGCUCAGAAUAAUGACCAGUUGAUAAUGGUGGCUCUUAAAAAAGAACUUGGAAUUCCUAUCUGGAGUUCAAAUGAUUCAAGUUACUGUUCUUGGGAGGGUGUACGCUGCAAUUCUGAUCUUUCUUUGGUUGAAAUGCUUGAGCUUUCGGACCGCAAAAUCGGAGGUAAUAUUACUUUAAUCUCAGAACUGAAAGCUUUGAAGUGGUUAGAUCUUUCUAAUAAUAAGCUUCAAGGAUCAAUUCCUUCUUCAUUUGGUAAUCUCACUCAGCUUGAAUUUCUUGAUUUAUCUUUGAACAUUUUUGGAAGUUCAAUUCCUCCAGAAUUGGGUAAACUCAAAAACCUUAGAUCGUUAAACCUUUCCGGCAACUAUCUCGUCUCUAAUAUACCUGAUGAAUUGAAGAAUCUUGAAAAUUUACAAGAUCUUCAAGUUUCAGGUAAUAGAUUGAAUGGUUCCGUUCCUUCAUGGAUAGGGAACUUUACCAAGCUAAGAGUUUUUGCAGCAUAUGAGAAUGACUUAAGUGGAAAAAUUCCUAGCAAUUUAGGCUCCCUGUCUGGUCUUCGUUUGUUGAAUCUUCAUUCGAAUUUACUCGAAGGACCCAUACCUGAAAGCAUAUUUUCUUCUGGGAAGCUUGAAGUUCUAGUGUUAACCAUGAAUAAACUUGUUGGAAAUCUUCCUUUAUCUGUUGGAAGCUGUCAAGGUCUUUCAAAUCUUCGAAUUGGAGACAAUAAACUCACAGGAAGCAUACCUACUUCAGUUGGAAAUAUCAGUAGCCUUACUUACUUCGAAGCUGAUAACAAUAACCUGUCCGGGGAAGUUGUUCGAGAAUUUGCUCAAUGCAAUAACUUAACUCUCCUGAAUUUAGCCUUCAACGGCUUCACCGGGACUGUUCCGCCGGAGUUUGGAGAACUUGCAAAUUUGCAGGAGUUAAUUCUAUCUGGUAACAGUCUCAUUGGAGAAAUUCCUGAUUCCCUUCUUAAGUGCAAGAAUCUUAGCAAGCUUGAUCUUAGUAUUAAUAGAUUGAAUGGAACACUACCAAGAGAACUCUGUAAGGCUCCAAAAUUACAGUUCCUUCGUGUAAGUCAGAAUUCAUUGCGAGGGGAAAUUCCCAGUGAGAUCGGAAACUGCGUAAAGCUACUUGAAUUGCAACUGGGUAACAACUACCUCACUGGAAUUAUCCCUCCUGAGAUGGGUCAGAUUAAGAAUUUGCAGAUAGCUUUGAAUUUGAGCUUCAAUCAUCUUCAUGGAUCUCUACCGUCCGAGUUGGGUAAACUCGAUAAGCUUGUUGCUCUGGAUAUCUCGAGUAAUCAGCUCUCUGGCAGUAUCCCAUCGGCGCUAAAGGGAAUGCUGAGUUUGAUAGAAGUUAAUUUUUCACAUAACUCUCUUACAGGCCAAGUGCCAGUCUUCACACCUUUUCAGAAGAGUCCAAAUUCAAGUUUUUAUGGGAAUAAGGGACUUUGUGGAGAGCCGUUAGGCAUAUCUUGUGGGAAUUCUUUUGAUUCAGACCAAACUUAUCAUCACAGGGUUUCGUACAAGGUUGUAUUAGCAGUAAUUGGGUCUGGUUUAGCAGUAUUUGUUUCUGUUUCAAUUGUCGUGUUUCUUUUUAUGAUGAGGGAGAAACAAGAAAUGGCUGCAAAAUCUGAAGAAAUUGCAGAAGAGAAAAAUCCUGAUCCAGCUCUAAUAAUAGCAGGCAAUGUCUUUGUUGAGAAUCUCAAACAGGCCAUAGAUUUCGACUCUGUUGUUAAAGCAACUCUUAAAGAAUCCAACAAGCUUCACUCUGGAACUUUCAGUUCUACUUAUAAGGCAGUUAUGCCAUCUGGCUUGAUUUUAUCUGUGAAGAGGUUGAAUUCCAUUGACAGAACAGUUAUCCAUCAUCAAAACAAGAUGAUCAGAGAGCUAGAGCGGCUGAGUAAGCUUUUCCAUGAGCAUUUGAUUAGGCCUGUUGGUUUUGUCAUCUACGAAGAAUCAGCUAUUUUGCUGCACAAUUACUUACCAAAUGGAACCUUAGCCCAGCACUUUCGUGACUCGAUUGCUGCUGAAAAAGAUUUUGAACCUGACUGGCCAACAAGACUCUCAAUUGCCAUCGGAGUUGCAGAAGGUUUGGCAUUUCUUCAUCAUGUUGCCAUUAUCCAUCUAGAUAUCUCGACAAGUAACGUUAUCUUAGAUUCCAAUUUGAAGCCUCUACUCGGGGAAAUUGAAAUCUCAAAGCUCUUAGAUCCGUCCAAAGGCACCGCAAGCAUAAGUGCGGUGGCAGGAUCAUUUGGUUAUAUUCCCCCAGAAUAUGCAUAUACAAUGCAAGUUACGGCACCUGGAAAUGUUUACAGUUAUGGUGUGGUGUUGCUUGAGAUUCUCACAACUAGAUCACCAGUUGAUGAAUCGUUUGGUGAAGGAAUAGAUUUAGUGAAAUGGGUUCAUACUGCACCAGAAAGAGGAGACACACCAGAGCAAAUUUUGGAUUCAAGGUUGAGUACCGUUUCAUUUGCUUGGAGGAAACAAAUGCUUGCAGUUCUGAAAGUUGCCUUGCUUUGCACUGAUACAACACCGGCUAAACGGCCUAAAAUGAAGAAAGUGGUGGAACUUCUUCAAGAAGUAAACUGAACCUGAUACGGUAAAAUGUAGUUGCUCUCUACAUUUCCAAAUUUAUUGUUAUAUAUUAUUCAACAGCUUUCAUUUAAGUAGAAGCCUAGAACAUGGAAUCUUGAAGAGGGAUUUUGGGAAGGGUGUUGAAGGAGCAAAUGAUGAUGAUGUCUUAUUUGGUUUACUCCUUCAAUUAUCCAACUGUGUACCGUACAGUUUUUUAUGAGAUUGUAAUUUUCACCAAUCGCGUUGGAAAUGAAUUUCGGAGUGUUCAUUUGGAUGCAGUUAGUGAGUUUUUCUCACUUAUCAAACUCUGCCUCCUACUUUUUCAUUGGCAUGAGAUGUUCUUCCAGUUUGUUGUGUAUAUAAAUAAAAUUGUGCGGUGGAGGCAUACAUUGCUGUGGCUGCUGCUUGUUUUUUUAUUGUUUGCUUGUUAUUCAACCUCCAGUGGUUGUUAUGGUUUCUUGCUGGAAAUUCUUUCUUGUUGGUUUAUUUCGUCUGUGUGUGAAUAAAACCAAGAGCAGAUGUUGUUCUGUAACAGCGUAUGGAUGUAUGAGAUCUUAUAUGAGUGUGGUUUAUUUCUAUUGUUGGUUAUUCAAGGCUGUUUUUAUUCUCCUCAUAUAUGUGCGCAUCUCGGUUUGGCGAUAGUACUGGUAUUGGUUUUCAGUAAGGUGCAGCGUGAAGACCACUGUUCUCAUCUGUCCGGAACAUGCCUUGGAAGUAUGCAUUGUUGCGCUAUAAGAAGUUUCUGCUUUAGCUAGAGUGUGUUGUAUUCACAGUGAUAUGCUUCUCAUGAACCAAUGGCAAUUGCUAAUUGUGAUACUUCCUCUUGGUAUUAUUUCUUCUUCCUCCUGGAUAUGCAAGUGUGUAUGAAGGUAGUGUAUGCAUCUUACAAGCUCAUGUUGCUGAACAUUUGAAGUUCAACUGCCUUUGGAGGAGUUUUCACAUGAUUCUGGUUCGUACAAGGCUAUAAAGAUGCAGGCUCUAUGCCUGGAAUCCAGGCGUUGCAGAUAUAUGCUUUGUGAAGGACAUCUACACAGAUUUCAGGGGGUCCUCCACCUACUUGUUAUCUCCACAGCAUACUUCUCUACAUAAGAACAUAGAGUGCAGGUUAUCUACACAGCGUACAGUGUGCAUAUUUUCUACACAGCAUACAAAGUUCAGGCUUAUGCAACACUUAGUCCACUACAGUCAGUGUUGGUACUUCAAGUUUGAAUUCGUCGUAUUGGCUUGUGUAUCUAGUAUGAAUUUAUCAUGCUCUGCUCCUGCGGCAACAACGAUAUGUUUAUACUACACCAGCAUUAUAUAUGCCUACUCAUGUCUCCACCACAGUUCUUCAUGUCUACCUCUACCACUCCUACAUUACCUUUUGCUGCUACCUCACCUGCUUGAUCAUCAUGAGAAGAAGGAAUGUUAUGUCUCUGCUCCAACAGUUGUUCGUCUGCGGGUCUCUCUACAUCAACUGCUCCUGCAACAUUAUCACCCGGCGCUGCUCAUGUUUUGUGCUUCACCACCUGCAACACUACAACCAUAGUUGCAGUUUGAUUUGCAUCCUAUAUUACUCUUCUGCUGCUUCUACUUUCAUGCAACCUCUGCAUUAACCGUCUCUACUGUGUAGUGUGUGUGAGUGUGACAGCACAGUAGUCUUGUUAUGUACACUCUCAAGGCUUCUUUUCAAGACACCUUGAGAUUGAGGGGGAGUGAUAGAGUGUGUGUGUGUGUGACAGCACAUGAGUCUUGUUAUGUAAAGCCUGUGAGCCACACGUGAGAGUGUCGGUGAUAUAUGAGAGUUGUCCGAGUCUGGUAUAUAAACUCUGUAAGCACUCAGUUGUAAGAUUAAGCUGUGAUCAAUACAGUAGAUCAUUUUAU